Non-coding RNA from Manis javanica (Malayan pangolin), 1297 nucleotides. The record is from RefSeq and is a predicted model, not a curated record. NCBI's taxonomy places the organism in Eukaryota, Metazoa, Chordata, Mammalia, Pholidota, Manidae.
UCUUGGACAGAGAAUGUCAUGGGAUGAUAAUUUCUGUUCUUGCCUGCAAAUUGGGAAUGUUAAACCCUGCUUCCCGGGGGUGUGACACAGGUGGUAUGGGUAAUGUACUGACAGCCUCCCAGGUGUUCAGCGUGGGGCAGGUGUGGAGGGCACGUCAGCUCUUCCCUCACGCUUGCCAGCUCUGGGCUACCUUCUGUCUGCUAAGUGAGAGGCUCCGUGGCUUACAAGCCGUACAGGGUAUGUGAGAGCUUCCCCUCAGCAAGCGUGUGGUCUAGGAAGGAAGGUGCGAUGUGGAAACAGACAGCUACUGGUAGGAAGGAGCCCCAGCAAUGGCACCUUUUCCUGGAAACUAGGAGGUUCAGAGUGGAACCCUGGCAUUGGGUGAAUUCUGGAAAAUGUGGCAGUGAUCUGUUAGCCCCUGGGACCUGCUCGUCCUUCAGGGAGACCCUGAACAUUCUGCUUGCAGCCCCUGGCAGCCUACAGAAGCAAAGGCCACCUGCUGGAGGGCCAGAGGCUGAUGCACAGAGGGUAGGUGGAGGGGCCAUGCACAGCAGACUCCCAGAGGGAGUGCUUCUGCCGCAGACUGGUCUGCAUGAGACGUGAGAGGGAAAGGAGCAAGAACAGCCUGAUGAAGUUUGUUUCCAACCUAAAGUGAAGGACCAAGAAUGACUGACCCUAUGCAGCCCUCAUUGCCAUUGAUUUACUGGUUCCCAUCAUGGGUCCACGUCAGAAUCACCUGCGGAGAUUUAAAAAGUUGCAAGCACCUGUCUCCACCCGUGGGCAUUCUCACGUUGGAGGACUUAGGGUGGGGCCCAGACAUUUGCUUUAAAAAAAUGCUCUGCAGGUCAUUAGGGAAGCAGCCAGGGCGUUGACGCAUGCCGUUGAUCAAUGUGGGCUUGGUUGCUCUUUAAACAAAAAUACUCUUAGAGGAGGGGCGUUGAUAAUGCCAGUAGGUUUCCGUGCCAAUACUCCUUCAGAUGGUUCUGUUUGCCAAAAUAGAUACGAGAAGCUCACAUGAGUAGACAGAUAAAAAGCCAACAUUUCACAGGUGGUCUUCCCUAGAAGCACCAAGCAGAGCGUCACUGACCCAGCUGGAGGGUUACUGGCUUUCAGUGGGCGUCCAUCACGUGCUAGGGACAGUGCCAGCCGGUCACACAUACGUUCUCUCAGAAGAAAGUUACCUGAGUGUGACCCCAGCCUGCAGGGUGAGGACAGCACUGCUCCAGGGACCACGGCGAUAGUGAAUGCACCUCGGCUCCACCCGCCGGGCCUGCCGCACAGCUCACCUUCGCCUCAG